UAAGGUGAUUAUUGCGGCGGGGCUCACCUCUUCCCAUCUCGAACAGAGAAGUUAAGCCCGCCUGCGCAGAUGGUACUGCAUUU
RNAcentral lists this ribosomal RNA (83 nucleotides) under Flavobacterium psychrophilum. Lineage: Bacteria; Pseudomonadati; Bacteroidota; Flavobacteriia; Flavobacteriales; Flavobacteriaceae. The record is from RNAcentral.